RNAcentral lists this transfer RNA (70 nucleotides) under Dipodomys ordii (Ord's kangaroo rat). It matches the Rfam family "tRNA". From Rfam's summary of the family: Transfer RNA (tRNA) molecules are approximately 80 nucleotides in length. Their secondary structure includes four short double-helical elements and three loops (D, anti-codon, and T loops). The record is from Rfam by way of RNAcentral. Lineage: Eukaryota; Metazoa; Chordata; Mammalia; Rodentia; Heteromyidae.
GGGAAGAUGGCUCAGUUGAUAGAGUGCUUGCCUGGCACGCAUGAAGCCCUGGGUUCGAUUCCUCAGCCCC